RNAcentral lists this ribosomal RNA (586 nucleotides) under uncultured bacterium. RNAcentral's name for it is "partial 16S ribosomal RNA". It matches the Rfam family "Bacterial small subunit ribosomal RNA", at positions 355 to 1375 of the family's 1533-position model. The record is from RNAcentral.
UGGGGAAUUUUGGACAAUGGGCGAAAGCCUGAUCCAGCAAUGCCGCGUGUGUGAAGAAGGCCUUCGGGUUGUAAAGCACUUUUGUCCGGAAAGAAAUCCUUGGCUCUAAUACAGUCGGGGGAUGACGGUACCGGAAGAAUAAGCACCGGCUAACUACGUGCCAGCAGCCGCGGUAAUACGUAGGGUGCAAGCGUUAAUCGGAAUUACUGGGCGUAAAGCGUGCGCAGGCGGUUUGCUAAGACCGAUGUGAAAUCCCCGGGCUCAACCUGGGAACUGCAUUGGUGACUGGCAGGCUAGAGUAUGGCAGAGGGGGGUAGAAUUCCACGUGUAGCAGUGAAAUGCGUAGAGAUGUGGAGGAAUACCGAUGGCGAAGGCAGCCCCCUGGGCCAAUACUGACGCUCAUGCACGAAAGCGUGGGGAGCAAAACAGGAUUAGAUACCCUGGUAGUCCACGCCCUAAACGAUGUCAACUAGUUGUUGGGGAUUCAUUUCCUUAGUAACGUAGCUAACGCGUGAAGUUGACCGCCUGGGGAGUACGAUCGCAAGAUUAAAACUUAAAAGAAUUGACGGGGUCAUAGCUGUUUCCU